CUGAAAACUCAAUGAAUGAGAUGGAGAAUGCAUUAGAAAGCAUUAGAAAUAGAACAGACCAUAUGGAAGAGAGAAUUAGUGAGCUUGAAGAUAGAAACCUAGAAAUAAUUCAAGUAGAAGGGAGAACUAACAUUUAAAAAGAACAAAUUCUACAAGAACUAUUCAACUUCAUUAGAAAGGGCAACAUAAGAAUAAUGGGUAUCUCAGAAAGAGAUACAAGAGAGAGAAAAAGACUAAGAGAUUAUUUAAAGAAAUAAUAGCUUAGAAUUUUCCACACCUGAGGAAGGAACUGGAUAUACUAACCCAUGAAGCUAAUAAAAUACCCAGUUACCUCAACGUAAAAACACCUUCUCCAAGAAACAUGAUAAUAAAGUUGUCAAAAGUCAAUGACAAGGCAGAAUAUUAAAGACAGCCGGGGGAAAAAAAUAACCUGUAAGGAACCCCCAUUAGCUAUCAGCACAUUUCUCAGCAGAAACUCUAUAGGCCAGUAGAGAGUAGAAUGAUAUAUUCAAAAUAUUCAAAGAUAAAAGCCAUCGGCCAAGAAUAUUCUACCCAGCGAAACUAUCCUUCAGAUACGAAGGAGAAAUAAAGGCUUUCCCAGAAAAACAAAAGCUCAAGGAGUUCAUUGCCACUACACCUGCCUUACAAGAAAUGUUGAAAGGAGCUCUUUCACCUGAAACAAAAAGGUAAAGGUACACAAAACUUUGAGCAAGGUGAUAAACUGACAAGAUACACUUAGAAAAUUGCAACUCUCUAUCAGAAUAGGUUGGGAAACAACUAUAAUAUAAAGGUUAAAUAAAACAAAGCCAUUCCAAUUUGGUAAUGAUUUCACAACAAAAAUGGGAUAAUCUGCAACAUCAAAAACAUAGAAAGGGAGGAGUUAAAGGGACAGAACUUUCAUAGAUAAAUGAAGGUAACAAGCUAUCAACAGAAAAAGGACUAUUUUAUCUAUGAGACCUUAUAUACAAACCUCACGGAAACCACAAAACAAAACUUCAGAGCAGAGACAAAACACAUAAAAAAGAGGAAACAGAAAGACAUCACAGAAAAACACCAAAUUGAAAUGGCAGACAGAAACACAAGGAAAAAGAAACAACAGAGAUACAGAGCAACCAGAAAACAAAAGGCAAACUGGCAGUACUAAUUACUCAUGUAUCAAUAGCCAUCCUAAAGGUAAAUGAAUUGAAUUCACCAAUCGAAAGACAAAGAGUGGCUGAAUAGAUUAAAAAACUAUAUGCUGCCUCCAGGAGAUUCAUCUCAGCUUUAAAACAAAACACAGUCUCAAAGUGAAGGGAUGGAAAGUGAUACUCCAAGCAAACAGCAAAAAAAAGAAAGGGGUGUAAUCAUACUUAUAUCAGAUAAAUUAGACUUCAAGCCAAAAUGGUAACAAGAGAUGACAAAGAUGAACAUUACAUAAUGAUAAAGGGGACAGUCCACCAAAAAGAUUUAACAUUUAUUAAUAUGUUAAUAAGUUAUGCACCUAACAUAGAAGCACCAAAAUAUAUAAACCAACUAACACACCUAAAGACAGAAAUUGAUAGUAACACAAUAGUAGUAGAGGAAUUUAAUACUCUGCUUACACCAAGGGAUAGAUCAUCCAGACAGAAAGUCAACAAGGAAACGUCAGCCUUAAAGGAAACAUCAGACUGGAUGGAGUUAAUAGAUACACAUACAUAGAACACUCCAUCCAAAAGCAACAGAAUAAACAUUCUUCUCAAGUGCACAUGGAACUUUCUCAAGAACAGACCAUAUGUUAGGACGCAAAACACUCUCAACAAAUUGAAGAAGACUGAAAUAAGACCAAGUAUCUUUCAAAUCACAAUGGUAUGAAACUAGAAAUCAACUAAAAGAAGAAAGAUGGAAAUGUCACAAACACAUUGAGACUAAACAACAUGCUACAAACAACUACUGGAGAAAGAAGAAAUCAAAGGAGAAAUCAAAAAAUAGCUGUAGACAAAUGAAAAUUUUUUUUAAAAGCCCAAAAUCUAUGGAAUGCAGCAAGAGCAGUACUAAGAAGCAACCUUACAGUAAUACAAGUCUGCCUCAAAAAACCCAGAAAAAUAUCAAAUAAACAAUCUAACACUACAACGAAAAGAACUAGAAAAAGAGGAACAAAGCCCAAAAUUAGUAGAAGCAAGGAAAUAAUAAAAAUCAUAGUGAAAAUAAAUGAAACAGAGACUAAAAAACAACAGAAAGCAUCAAUGAAACUAAGAGCUUGUUCAACUGACAAACCUUUUAACUAGAUUCACUGAGGAAAAAAAGAAAAGGCUCAAAUAAAUAAAAUCAGAAAAAAAGAGAAAUUACAGAGGAUAAGAAAGGAUUAAGACAAUAAUACAAAAAGCUAUAUGCCAACAAAUUAGAUAAUCUGGAAAAAAUGGAUAAAAAUUCUUCCAAAGCUGAAAAUGGAAGAGAAUAUGAAUAGACCAAUCACUAGUAAACAGAUCAAAACAGUAAUCAAAAACCUCCCAAAAGACAAAGGCCAGGACCAGAUGGCUUCCCUGGUGAAUUCUACCAAACAUUCAAAGACUUAAUAUCUACCCUUCUCAAACUCUUCCAGAAAAUUGAAGAGGAGAGGAUGCUUCCUAACUCAUUCUACAAGGCCAACAAAACCCGGGUACCAAACCAGACAAGGGCAACAAACAAAAACAGCAAAUUACAGGUCAAUAUCACUGAUGAAGGUAGAUGCAAAGAUCCUCAACAAAAUACUAGCAGAUCAAAUACAACAAUACAUUUAAAAGAUCAUACACCAUGAUCAAGUGGGAUUUAUUCCAGGGAUGCAAGGAUGGUUCAACAUCUGCAAAUCAAUCAAUGUACUAUACCACAUUAACAAAAUGGAGGGAAAAAAUGACAUAAUCAUCUCAACAGAUGCAGAGAAAGCAUUUAACAACAUCCAGCGUCCAUUUAUGGUAAAAACUCUCAAAAAAAUGGGUAUAGAAGGAAAGCACCUCAAUAUAAUCAAGGCCAUAUGUGACAAACCCACAGCCAACAUCAUACUCAAUGGGGAAAAAUUGAAAGCCAUCCCUCUGAGAUCAGGAACAAGACAAGGGUGCCUACUCUCACCACUCUUAUUCAACAUAGCACUAGAGGUUUUGGCCAGAGCAAUCAGGCAAGAAAAAGGAAUAAAAGGAAUCCAAAUAGGCAUGCAGUGAAACUCUGUUUGCAGAAGACAUGAUUUUAUACAUAGAAAACCCUAAAGAAUCCAUCGGAAAACUAUUAGAAAUGAUCAACAACUACAGUAAAGUUGCAGGGUACAAAAUCAAUUUACAAAAUUCAGCUGCAUUUCUAUACUCAAAUAAUGAACUAACAGAAAGAGAACUCAAGAACACAAUCCCAAGUACAAUCGCAGCAAAAAUAAUAAAAUAUCUAGGAGUAAAUUGAACCAAGGAGGUGUAAGACCUAUACAAUAACAACUCUAAGAAAUUGCUGAAGGAAACUGAUGAUGACAUAAAGAAAUAGAAAGAUAUUCCAUGCUCACUGCCUGUAAGAACAAACAUAGCUAAAAUGUCCACACUACCUAAAGCAAUCUACAGAUUCAAUGCAAUCCCAAUCAGAAUCCCGAUGAUUCUUCACGGAAAUAGAACAAAGAACCUAAAAUUCAUAUGAUGCAACCAAAGACCCUGAAUAGCUAAGGCAAUCCUGAGAAAAAAGAACAAAGUUGGAGACAUCACAAUCACUGACUUCAAAAUAUACUACAAAGCUACAGUAAUCAAAAUAGCAUGGUACUGGUACAAAAAUAAGCACACAGAUCAAUGGAACAGAAUUGAGAGCUCAGAAACAAAACCACACAGCCAUGGACAGCUAAUCUCUGAAAAAGGUGCUAAGAACGUACAAUGGAGAAAGGAAAGUCUCUUCAAUAAAUGGUGCUGGCAAAACUGGACAGCCACAUGCAAAAGAAUGAAAGUAGACCAUUAUCUUACAGGACACACAAAAAUAAACUCAAAAUGGAUCAAAGACAUGAAGGUAAAACCUGAACCCAUAAAACUUCUAGAAUAAAAUAUAGGCAGUACACUCUUGGACAUCAAACUUAAAAGGAACUUUUUGAAUACCAUGCCUUCUUGGACAAGAAAACAAAAGAAAAAACAAGUAGAACAUCAUCAGACUAAAGAGCUUCUGCAAGGCAAAGUAAACCAGGAUUAAAAUGAAAAGACAACUCACCAAUUGGCAGAAAAUACUUGCAAAUCAUAUAUCUAACAAAUGGUUAAUCUCCGUAAUAUAUAAAGAACUCACACAAAUGAACAACGAAACAAGAAACAACCCAAUCAAAAAAUGGGCAGAGGGGCUGGCCUGGUGGUGCAGCAGUUAUGUUCACGUGGUCCACUUCAGCUGCCUGGGGUUCUCCAGUUUGGAUCCUGGGCACGACCUAUGCAUGGUUUAUCAAGCCCCACAUAUAAAAGAGAGAAAGAUGGGCGUAGAUUUUAGCUCAGGGCCAAUCUCCCUCAGCAAAAAGAAGAGGACAGGUGGUGGAUGUUAGCUCAGGGCUUAUCUUCCUCAAACAAAACAAAACAAAACUGGAAACUGUUUCUCCAUAAAACAACGACAGGGUUUAUGGUAUUACUGGCAUACUGCUAUAGUUUGGUUUCAUAAAAGACUAUUGUGGAACUGGCUUUCUAGUGCUAUUUCUAUGGGAAAAGGUGUCAAAGUUCUGAGCAUCUGACUGAAAAUUUCUGAAGAGCAUAUAAAAUUUCACUAAGUUUCCAAACAAAAGAAACAAAGCUCCUUGCUUGUAAGGCUGUAGUUACUUUCUGAGAAGCUCUAACUGGAGGCAGGGCCCAAUCACUCGCCAGACUUUCUCUCAACACUCCUUAUCCCCUGCCACGCCACACCGUGUUACCCCCAUUUCUAAGAUUCUGUUAUGUCCCCAGCCUCAUUACAAUGGGGAGAGCACUCAGGGAAGAGAAAAAAAAAGUCAUUCCUGUGUGAUAUUGAUGUGCCCUUUUAAAGUGCUGUAGAAGCGGCCACUUUCUACUACCCUCUAACACAAAGGUCACAUGGGCAGAAAAUCCAGCUGAUUGUGAGCAGAGAUAACUCAGGAUGACAUAUGGUCCCAAUAAACACAGGCUUAGCAAAGAGUAAACAAUCAGGCAGACAAGAGGCUGAGGUGGGCCUAGGGAUUUUUGAAAAAGAGUUUCUGGGAGGAAAAGCCUAUUCAGAACAGAAAUAUAAAAAGUGUUAUAAUUAAAACUCCAAUAAUAAUGGAAGGUUUUAUUUAAAAUACAAACAAAAGCCUAUUUUUUUUCCUAUUUAAUGGUGAAGGUAAAAUUUAUAGUGGAGUGACUCUCAAAGUGAAAAUUUUUUAGUUAUUUUUUUUAUUAAGAAACCCCAAAAUUUGGAAUAUAAGAAAAAUGAUCUAGACUCCCACUGUCCUGCCAGAACCUGUGUUGACAUUUUGACAUACCUCCCUCUAGUCUUUCCAAAAGCCUUCUGAUAUUUCUGACAAAAUGGGAUGGAAGAGGGGAGCCUGAAGUCUUCUGUAACAACCCCUUCCCCUCCCAACUAAGCAGCCGCUGUAAGAACACAGUCCUCCCAGGAGAGGACUGCCGACCUCCGUGGACAGCCGAUGCUCCACCCCAUUCUCCACACUCUACUCUUCACCUUAGCCAUCAGGAUAGGGGGAUGGACUUAUCUUCCUCUGAAACAACAAAAACUCAUUAGAAUCUGUAACACUGCAUAUUUUCCAUGAAAUAAAUGUCUACAAAUAGACAUCAAUUCAUAUGCCUUCGUUAAGAAUGGGGGGAGGGAUUCAAAUGCAAUCACUGUGGCAAUCAAAGGUCUGGGUCUUCUUUACAAUCAUCAAAAUGGAUUAAUUGGGCCAUUCAACUAUUCGAGUGAAAAAAAACUCUCUGAGGCCUAAUGUUUUAUAUAAGAGAAGACUAUGAAUGCCAGAAAUGUUUCGUUUUUAUAAUUUGAUUCUAAUUUCUUCUUCUUCAAGGAAAAUAGUUCAAAACUGCUUAUUCUCAUAAAAUGGAAUUGAACACGUAAAGAUCAACUAAUUCAAAAUAAAAUUUGAUAUUGACAUGAUGGAAAUAAAAAGCACGGGUGUUAUCCUCAUUAAAGAUGUGUCAUAUUUUGCAUUCUUAUUUCAAGAGUCUGUAAUUAUAAAAUUAAUAAAAACCAACAACUGAGUACUAAAGGCCACGUAUGUUGGGUUUAAGAAGGUAUCAGUGUAACCUAGAAAUACGCGAGCAGAAUGAUCCAAUAAUUAGAAACAUCAAGGUCUGGCUGCUGGUUUGGGCCACAUGUAAGCAGCAAAGAAAGGAAAGUAAGGAGGAAGCACCCGCUCCAGCCACAAGGGAAAAACGCAACUUAGACCAACCAGCAUUUAAAAAAACAAAUACACACCCUAAUCGAAAACUAAAAUAGUCAUUGAAAUAUAGCAUUUUUGAAGUUACAAGGGAUUUCGCCACCGAAGCUUCCCAAAAGCUAUAUUCAAUUUGGUUAAUGAAAAGCUAUUCUCGUUUUCUUUUCUAAAGAAAAUAAAGAUUCCCUCUAAUCAGUCUUCCUCAAGAAUUACUAAAACAGAAUAUAUACACACACACAGAUAUAUCCUAUACUAUUGAGAAGGAAAAAACCAAUCUGAGGUGACACUGGAAUAAGGUCAUUCUAAAUAAGAAAAGAUGUUAAUAGAGAAUCUGAUCUUACUUUUAAUCAAAGUUUUAUUUUUAAAACAGCCUGGAAAUUGACAUUCACUUUAAAAAAGUUUAAAUGAAAACUGCAUUAACUUACAAAUGCACACUUGCAACUGUCACAUAUCCUUUUAAACAUAUACGUGUUUGUGCGCAUACAAAUAAAAGAUAUCAUCGGCCAAGGAAGAGCCAAACAGUAAAAUGAUCAUCCACCUACUCACGCCCUGGAUUCAACAUUGCUAACACCCUGUCAAACCGCUUUCUCUAUCUAGACAGACACAUAUUCUGUUUUUUUCUGAAUCACUUACACAUUACAGAUACCCUUCUCCAUUGCUUGCCGCAUACUGCACUGCUGCAACAGCCAACUAUAUUCAUUGGAUCCUAUCACCAAUAUGAUUGCCCGAUCAAUUUUUCUAAUAGACUUUUCGUGAUGUCACUCUUCUAAUCAAGCGCCUACGAUGGCUUCCUGCUAUUCCAAUUCUAGAUUUUCCCAGUCGUCUUCUCACCUUCCCUUCCCUGACCUUCCAUUAUUUUGUGACAAGGAAAGCCUGCGUUUACCUUGAACACAGCCUUCUGCCUGAAGUGCCCUCUUCCUGCUGACCUAAAUCCCGAACAUCUUUCAAAGCUAAAAUCCCACCUCAACUCUUAGGAAGCCUUUCUUCGCCAACAACCCCAAGCCAUGUUGUUUUUGUUAUUAAAGGCCCUACUAUUCCAGUCACAACUGGAAACUAACACUUAACUCUCCUCUAAUCACUUCACGUCUGUACUUACACGGUAUCCCCAGAUUGACUACCAACUUCUUGUUCCCAUUUAGCACUGUGCUCAGCUCAAAAAAUUUUAUUCAUUGGUUAAUAACCAAUAAUUUCCUAGUUAUACAAUGCCUUGUUAUAAAAAAAAAAAAAAGGAAAAAAGUCUUAUUGCUCUCAGGGUACCACUUUAGUACCACAUUUCGUAUGGUGACCAGCCCACAAUUCAGCGAACAUCGUGAGUUUUGGGCCUACGUCUAAAGAUACACUGGACUCAGUCACAUACUCAGGCACAGAGCUGUGCAGCCAGUGGUGUUGGGCUCUGCAGCUAUAAGGUCAAGACGAGUUGGGACUGGGGAAGCUGAGUUUUAUGGUGGUGCAGAAACCGUGAGCUGAAAGAGCAAGCUGUUGGCGGAGAGAGAUGCACAGAGAGAAGUUACAGGUAGAGAGAGACUGCCUCUAAGAGUAGGCUUGGUUCCUGGCAGCUUUCCAGUUCCCACAGCAGUCCCCGGAGUCUGGCUGUGCUGAACUUCCUACCCUCCGCUCCACGCGCUUCCCUGUUAGAUGCUACAUAACUGGCCCCCUAAUCCUGACCUACCUUGUUUUCUGCUCCUUCGGGGGUCACAGGAAGCUUAACCCAGACAUUCAUCAUUAUGAAAUAACUAAAGCAGACGACUCUCCAGGUCCUCCUCUCAGAUGCUAAUAACCAGUACUCUUGGAUAAUUCCCUUCUCCACUCCACGCUGCAGGCCUCCCAUCUACAGAACAAGACACGGAAGGAUGAAUGUCUGGCUCCCAGUGGUACAGUCCACGGUCAGAAUGUUUCCCUCAAUACCACACUUUUCCUGUAGUACAAGCAUCCCUCGUUUUAUGUGCUAUAUACUUGCCUAAAUCAUAUGAUUUCUCCUGAAAUAUAUUCUUCAGAUUUAGAAUAUAAAUGGAUACGUACUAAUAUAACCACAUAAUAUUUGCAAUGUAGAUAUUAUACACUUUUUGGUGAAAUUUAAUGUCUGAAUUUACCACUAAACCAUAAACUCCAUGAAAGCAGAGACCAUGUCUGUUUCUGCUUACCACUUUAUAUCUAGUGCCUAUCACAGGGUCGGGCACUACUAACAGCUUAACAAAUAUGUGCUCAAUGGAUUACUGACAGGUAUAAAAUUUAGCUUAAUAAGGAAUGGUCCUGGGGCAGUUAUUCCUAAGACCCAUCUUAAACAUAAAAAUGGAACUUCUGAUUCUCUUCCUGGCUCAGCUGCCCCCUCAGCCCUGUCCCUCCCCCCACCCCAACCCCAAUCUUCUCCUCCCCAUAUUCUCGACCUCAGUAAAUGGUAUCAUUUUUCACUAAGUUACUCAAAGUAAAAUCUAUGAGUAAUCCUUAAUCCCUCCUUCCCUCCACUUUCCACAUGCAACCUGUCUGCAACAUAUCUUGAGUCUCUCCUCUUCUAUCUCCACCCCGCCCCUCUACUGUCACCAUUCUCUCCUGCUUCCACUGCUGCACCCUGCUUUUACUCCCACCCCACUACAAUCAAUUUUUUUCUUUCAGUAGCCAGAGCCAUCUAAAAUAUAAACCAAAGCACACACCUCUUGCUUAAAAGUCUAUUGGUUUCUAUCUGCACACGGAACAAAAUCUACAAUCCUCAGCACCAUCCACCCCAGCCCACCCACUCGUGUGCCAUGCUGCAACCACACGACCUUCUGCUCCUUCUUGCCUUAGUGCCUACACACCUCCUCGUCCCCAGCCCUGCCUCUCCUAAGGACAGCACCUUCACAAGUCUUCAGAUCUCCGUUCUGAACCUUACCUUCUCCAUCACUUCUCUUGCCAUCACUAUGUAAAGAACCCCUGCCCCUCUACUCACACAAUUCCCAAUGUUACCAUAUGGUUUCCAUCAUAGCAUACUUAUUCCUAACAGAAAUCAUUUUAUUUAUCUGUUCAUCAUCUCUCUCUCCUCCACCAGCCUGUAAGCUCCUUGAGAGCAGCAACCCCGCACCUAGAACAGCGGCGGAUAUAUAAUCAGCACUCAAGAGUUUCUUGAAUAAACAAACCUCUGUAGUAUCUGUUUUGCUCUUUUAAACCACAUUUAUAACAUAUAAAAAACCACCUGCUUGACAUCGUCUCACUUCUAGACACAGCACACGGUGAAAACUACGAUUAAUGAAAGACUGCUUAAGUCUGCGGAUACAAGACAGGAACUUUUAGCGGCACACCAGAAUAGACUGUUAGAUCUGGUCUAUCACCAAUCCCAGCGCUUUCUACAGUGUGCGCCAAGAGACUUCUUUGGGAAGAGAACCUGCUUCUUAUUACUUUCCUCCAGAUAGGCGCUUGCUUUUACUAAAAAUUCCUUACAUCCUUUUUCAGGAUGCUAGGCUCACUAUUACACGAUUCCUCAAAUGCCAACUUACUGAAACCUAGCCCGUAGUGUUACACCUUCCCCUCGUUCAUACAAGACAUCUUGAAUAGAAACAGAGCUACCAUCAGGUGCCGUGACACAUGGAUCCCGAGAUCACAGCAUAAGGUCACACCCCACCCUCCGCAGGGAACAUCAGAAGCGUUGGGGGAUCACUCACUCUUCCUCCCACCCGAUGGUGACGUCAUCUCUCCCUCUGCACCCACAGCCUUUCACCUCCUCUGGCCCCUUCUGCCUUGAACUCGAGCCGCUUGCGUCCUGCUGUGCCCGCCUCCCAGGCGGAGAGCUCCCGCGGGCAGGAGUCUGCACCGCCGAGAGGCCAGCACGCGGGGACUCUCCGCGAGCACGGCGCGCUUCCCGCCCGCCCUCGGUUCGCUCCUGCGGCGAGAACGAGCCCCGCCUCCGGGCCGCCGAGAGCAGGGGCGCCGGCCUCCACCGCCUCCCGCCGUCUGGGACCCGGCGCCGUCUGGGGCGCGGCGGCGGCGCGGCACUCGGGAGGCGGCGCCCAGCCCAGGGUCGGUCCCGUCCUGGCGCGGCCCGGGCGGCGGCCGCGCGUCCGCAACCCCACGCGCCCUCGCGACAGGUCGGGGCGAAGGCGCGUCACGCGCUCCGGACAGAGGCCCGAGCGGGGAGGCCGAGCGCCGGCGGGAGCCCUGCCCGGAGGCGACAGCGCGAGGCCUCGGACUCGGGCGCCGCUCGCACUCCGGCAGACGGCGGGGCGGCGGACGCGAGGGCGGGGCGGUCCUCGCCCGGCCCGCCCAGCACGCCCCGCCCGCUCGGACCUCGGGACGCGGGGUCACCCCGCGGGGCCGGCCCGGGGGUCGCGCGCACCCCCGGCCCCUGCCCGCGCCAUCUUGGAGCGCUGAGGCGGCCGCUGCGGCCGUCGCUCAAUCGCAGUUCCCGGGCCAGGCCCCAUGACCCCUCCACGACCCCUUCCACGGCCGGGAGCCGCAGCAGCAGCGCGCCUCGCGGGAAGCUCCGCACGGCAGCCACGUCCUGGCCGCGCUCCGGAGCCGCGGGACACCCGCGCCAGCCGGCCGCCGCAACUGCCAACGAGCCCCGCCCCGGCCCCAGGCCUGCGGUGAUUGGGCGCCGCUGCCCGCGAGCCCCGCCCCGGUCCCGGGUCUGCGGUGAUUGGCCGCUGCGCGUGGGUUCCGCCCCUCAGCGGGACCGAGCUUGCUAAACCUGCUCAGGGCGCGACAGUGCCCGGACUCAGGCUCUCCGUGAAGGCCUGGUGUGUGGGGCCUUCUGCAGCCCGGUCCCGCAGCCAGCAUUCUCCAAGAGGGGACUCAGAGGGUGGCCCAGCUGCAAGGGCCCUUAGAGCGCCUCUGCCACCUCGCGAGACGCUGCCUCACACCCAAAGAAGGCGUGUCGCCCGGACAGCUGGGCCUCCCCUAAAAUCUGAGGAGCUCUGCCGCAGACAUCGUCCCCUGACAAGAGCCUGAGGCAUGGAUUCGCCACCGAGAGAUAUGGAGAUCCUUGAACGUCAGUUUUUCAAGUUACAACCAAAGUCCAUGUCCUGAAGUUGAUUUCUCUCUUUCAGGUCUCUUUCUAUCUAUUCUCUGUGUUUUAAGUUUGCAAGAGGAAAACAGAAUAAAUUAUGAUAAUCUUUGUAAACAUCUGCUCUGAAGACAGCUCUCUGGCUCAGACUCUCUCGCGGGCCCCCGCUUUUCCUUCAAGAUGCAAUGAUGUGCGGUUAUUUAACAUGGUGUCAGAGGUUCUCAGCGAUUGGACCCAACCACGUUCUCCAGCUUCCUCUCCACGCCCUCCCUGCGCCCGUGCCACCAUCCUGUCAGAUCCUUUUACCUUCUCCCAGACCUCCCAGCUGCUUUCACCCCCUGUCACAACACGUGUCUCUGCCCAGAACCCCCCAGUUCCUGUGGGAACCGGUCUCAGCUGAGGGAACGGAUGGUUGCUCUGGGCCCAGCUGUGCCCUGGAAGCGCUGAGCAGGAAAUGGGCUCUGCGUAAGAUCAGCACAUCUCCCUUUACCUGGGACUGCCCUGGUCUUAAACCUGAAAGUCCCAUGUCCCAGGAGCUUCCUUAGUACCAGGCAAAAUGGAACACAGUCUCCUUAGCUCUCUGCACCUCAGAAAAUGUCAUAAGGGAAUCCUGCAGGGGGCUUCCAUAUGGAAAAAUAGGGUCACACAGGUAAUAGCUACCACUCCCAAGGUAAUGCAAUAGGUGAGCUGAUUGCGAUCUUGGCUUUAUACAUCCUAUGAGUUUUGACUAGUGUAAAUGACAUGUAUACACCGUUAUUAUUUUUACUUUUUUACAUGUGGCUAUUAGGAAACUUAAAAUUACACAUGUGAUUCCCUUUGGGGCUCCCGUUAUAUUUCUAUUCUACCUACUGGUGUGAUUAUCUUUUAUUCUAGACAAAGGCUAAUGCUUAGAGAUCAGUAUGGCACUUUAAAAAUGUUUCUCACCAAUGAUUUUGUCCUGAGUGCAAAGGAAUCUUUCCGUAUUUUAGAUAAACAAGACCCAUUGUACUUUGA
This is a long non-coding RNA of Equus caballus (horse), 12263 nucleotides long. NCBI's taxonomy places the organism in Eukaryota, Metazoa, Chordata, Mammalia, Perissodactyla, Equidae. The record is from Ensembl.